RNAcentral lists this transfer RNA (83 nucleotides) under Zamia furfuracea. RNAcentral's name for it is "tRNA-Tyr". The record is from RNAcentral. Lineage: Eukaryota; Viridiplantae; Streptophyta; Cycadopsida; Cycadales; Zamiaceae.
UGGGAGAGGCAGGAUUCGGACCUACGUAGAAAACCUUCAACGGAUUUACAGUCUGUCGCUUUUAACCACUCGGCCACUCCCCC